UGAAACAAAAUGUAUAUUUGUAUGAAUAAUUAAUUUUAGACAGAUAUAAAUAGUUGCAGGUUUAAAAAAGUUUUCAUAAGUUUCAGAACACCAUUCAUUAUGAAUUUCUGGUUGCUGGGAUUAUUAUUAGUGAUAAUAACUUGCGGAUAUGUAUCCACACAGGAUACUUGUCUUCAACCCCAACCAGGAAUUGGUUAUUUUGAACCUUUUUACACGUUGGUCAAUGAUUUAUUUCAAGCUAAUACAAAAGUUGUUUUUACUAUGAUUUAUACAACAUUAAAUUGGCCAUUCUAAUUUUUGAAGAAGAAAAAAAAAACAUUUUUUAAAAUUUAAAUAAAUGUAUUAGCUACUUA
Long non-coding RNA from Dalotia coriaria, 353 nucleotides. RefSeq lists it as uncharacterized. Lineage: Eukaryota; Metazoa; Arthropoda; Insecta; Coleoptera; Staphylinidae. The transcript has 2 exons. The record is from RefSeq and is a predicted model, not a curated record.